RNAcentral lists this ribosomal RNA (483 nucleotides) under uncultured bacterium. RNAcentral describes it as "partial 16S ribosomal RNA". It matches the Rfam family "Bacterial small subunit ribosomal RNA", at positions 28 to 507 of the family's 1533-position model. The record is from RNAcentral.
GACGAACGCUGGCGGCGUGCUUAACACAUGCAAGUCGAACGCUGAAGCUCAGCUUUUGUUGGGUGGAUGAGUGGCGAACGGGUGAGUAACACGUGAGUAACCUGCCUCCUUCUUUGGGAUAACGCCCGGAAACGGGUGCUAAUACUGGAUAUUCACUGGUCUUCGCAUGGGGGUUGGUGGAAAGGGUUUUUCUGGUGGGGGAUGGGCUCGCGGCCUAUCAGCUUGUUGGUGGGGUGAUGGCCUACCGAGGCUUUGACGGGUAGCCGGCCUGAGAGGGUGACCGGUCACAUUGGGACUGAGAUACGGCCCAGACUCCUACGGGAGGCAGCAGUGGGGAAUAUUGCACAAUGGGCGCAAGCCUGAUGCAGCGACGCCGCGUGAGGGAUGGAGGCCUUCGGGUUGUGAACCUCUUUCGCUCAUGGUCAAGCCGCAACAAUGGUUGUGGUGAGGGUAGUGGGUAAAGAAGCGCCGGCUAACUACGUG